UCAUAAGUAUUAAAAACAAAGCCCUUUUCUACCCAGUCAAUUGCUUCUAAAUUACAUGAGUUAUUAUUUAAAAUGGACUUCAUCUUUUAUCAUCCAUUUGAGAUAUUACUAUCCAUUUGAGACUGCAGGAGUUAUCACAUAUCUAAAGUGACAUUUUUAUCUUCAAUAAAUUCUAAUUCAGUUCAUACAUUAACUGGAGAAACACAAUUUUAGGGUGCUUAAUCAAAAUGCUUUAUGGAUUCUUCAUUCCAUACUAGUAAUAGCAUGAUGCUUUAACAAAAAUAGUAAUUAAAAUAAUUG
RNAcentral lists this long non-coding RNA (300 nucleotides) under Homo sapiens (human). Its description in RNAcentral is "non-protein coding lnc-TOX-3:1". The record is from RNAcentral. Lineage: Eukaryota; Metazoa; Chordata; Mammalia; Primates; Hominidae.